AGAGUUUGAUCAUGGCUCAGAUUGAACGCUGGCGGAAUGCUUUACACAUGCAAGUCGAACGAUGAACCUUAGCUUGCUAGGGGGAUUAGUGGCGAACGGGUGAGUAAUAUAUCGGAACGUAUCCAAUAGUGGGGGAUAACGAGUCGAAAGAUUCGCUAAUACCGCAUACGCCCUGAGGGGGAAAGUGGGGGACCGCAAGGCCUCAUGCUAAUGGAGCGGCCGAUAUCUGAUUAGCUAGUUGGUGAGGUAAAGGCUCACCAAGGCGACGAUCAGUAGCUGGUCUGAGAGGACGACCAGCCACACUGGAACUGAGACACGGUCCAGACUCCUACGGGAGGCAGCAGUGGGGAAUUUUGGACAAUGGGCGAAAGCCUGAUCCAGCCAUUCCGCGUGAGUGAAGAAGGCCUUCGGGUUGUAAAGCUCUUUCGCAAGGGAAGAAAGAUUACUUUUUAAUAAAGAGUGAUUAUGACGGUACCUUGAUAAGAAGCACCGGCUAACUACGUGCCAGCAGCCGCGGUAAUACGUAGGGUGCGAGCGUUAAUCGGAAUUACUGGGCGUAAAGCGUGCGCAGGCGGUUUUGUAAGUCAGAUGUGAAAUCCCCGAGCUCAACUUGGGAACUGCGUUUGAAACUACAAGACUAGAAUAUGUCAGAGGGGGGUAGAAUUCCACGUGUAGCAGUGAAAUGCGUAGAGAUGUGGAG
Molecule: ribosomal RNA, 700 nt
Filed under: uncultured bacterium
Lineage: Bacteria
Description: bacterial SSU rRNA
Rfam family: Bacterial small subunit ribosomal RNA
Source: RNAcentral